GACGAACGCUGGCGGCGUGCUUAACACAUGCAAGUCGAACGGUGAAGCGCCUUCCUUUUUGGUGGGUGUGGAUGAGUGGCGAACGGGUGAGUAACACGUGAGUAACCUGCCCCCUUCUUCUGGAUAACCGCAUGAAAGUGUGGCUAAUACGGGAUAUUCUGGGUCUGUCGCAUGAUGGGUCUGGGAAAGAUAUUGUUUCGGUGGGGGAUGGGCUCGCGGCCUAUCAGCUUGUUGGUGGGGUGAUGGCCUACCAAGGCGGUGACGGGUAGCCGGCCUGAGAGGGUGGACGGUCACACUGGGACUGAGACACGGCCCAGACUCCUACGGGAGGCAGCAGUGGGGAAUAGUGCACAAUGGGCGCAAGCCUGAUGCAGCGACGCCGCGUGAGGGAUGGGGGCCUUCGGGUUGUGAACCUCUUUCGCCAGUGAAGCAGGCCUGCCUCGUUUGUGGGUGGGUUGACGGUAGCUGGAUAAGAAGCGCCGGCUAACUACGUG
This 494-nucleotide ribosomal RNA is filed under the name uncultured bacterium. Its description in RNAcentral is "partial 16S ribosomal RNA". It matches the Rfam family "Bacterial small subunit ribosomal RNA", at positions 28 to 507 of the family's 1533-position model. The record is from RNAcentral.